UUCUGGCUCAGGAUGAACGCUAGCGGCAGGCUUAACACAUGCAAGUCGAGGGGCAACGCGAGUAGCAAUACUUGGCGGCGACCGGCGCAAGGGUGCGUAACGCGUGAGCAACAUGCCCGUAUCAGGGGGAUAAUCCAGGGAAACUUGGUCUAAUACCCCAUAGUAAUUUUGUAAGGCAUCUUAUAAGAUUUAAAGCUUUGGUGGAUACGGAUUGGCUCGCGUGACAUUAGCUGGAUGGUAAGGUAACGGCUUACCAUGGCUAUGAUGUCUAGGGGUUCUGAGAGGAAGGUCCCCCACACUGGAACUGAGACACGGUCCAGACUCCUACGGGAGGCAGCAGUGAGGAAUAUUGGACAAUGGAUGGAAAUCUGAUCCAGCCAUGCCGCGUGAAGGAAGAAGGUCCUAUGGAUUGUAAACUUCUUUUGUAUGGGAGCAAUAAGGCCUACGAGUAGGUUGAUGAGAGUACCAUACGAAUAAGCACCGGCUAACUCCGUGCCAGCAGCCGC
Molecule: ribosomal RNA, 506 nt
Filed under: uncultured bacterium
Lineage: Bacteria
Description: bacterial SSU rRNA
Rfam family: Bacterial small subunit ribosomal RNA
Source: RNAcentral